This 709-nucleotide ribosomal RNA is filed under the name Hydropus sp. Its description in RNAcentral is "LSU rRNA". It matches the Rfam family "Eukaryotic large subunit ribosomal RNA", at positions 73 to 763 of the family's 3401-position model. Lineage: Eukaryota; Fungi; Basidiomycota; Agaricomycetes; Agaricales; Mycenaceae. The record is from RNAcentral.
GAUUCCCCUAGUAACUGCGAGUGAAGAGGGAAAAGCUCAAAUUUGAAAUCUGGCAGUCCUUGUGAUUGUCCGAGUUGUAAUUUAGAGAAGUGUUACCCGCGCUGAACCGUAUAUAAGUCCUUUGGAAUGAGGCGUCAUAGAGGGUGAGAAUCCCGUCUUUGAUACGGACUGCCAGUGCUUUUGUGGUAUGCUCUCAAAGAGUCGAGUUGUUUGGGAAUGCAGCUCAAAAUGGGUGGUAAAUUCCAUCUAAAGCUAAAUACAGGCGAGAGACCGAUAGCGAACAAGUACCGUGAGGGAAAGAUGAAAAGAACUUUGGAAAGAGAGUUAAACAGUACGUGAAAUUGCUGAAAGGGAAACGCUUGAAGUCAGUCGCGUUGGUUGAGAAUCAGCCUUGCUCUUUGCUUGGUGUACUUCUUGAUCAAUGGGUCAGCAUCAGUUUUGACCGUUGGAUAAAGUGCAAGGGAAUGUGGCAUCUUCGGAUGUGUUAUAGCCUUUGUUCGUAUACAAGCGGUUGGGACUGAGGAACUCAGCACGCCGAAAGGCCGGGUUUUUAACCACGUACGUGCUUAGGAUGUUGGCAUAAUGGCUUUAAUCGACCCGUCUUGAAACACGGACCAAGGAGUCUAACAUGCCUGCGAGUGUUUGGGUGGAAAACCCGAGCGCGUAAUGAAAGUGAAAGUUGAGAUCUCUGUCAUGGAGAGCAUCGACG